This 1810-nucleotide long non-coding RNA is filed under the name Malus domestica (apple). RNAcentral describes it as "long non-coding RNA (MDOM_LNC015770)". Lineage: Eukaryota; Viridiplantae; Streptophyta; Magnoliopsida; Rosales; Rosaceae. The record is from RNAcentral.
CAGAAGUUUGACAGUUUGCAGUGAGGUCAAAUUGUGUAUGUCGAUUGUUAAAACGAUACAAUGUGUGAGUCAAAGAAAUGGGUUUACGUGAGUGUUUGAUUAUCCCAUUGAAUGUAACAUCAUGUGGAGAUAGUGACACUGAUUGUGGUUUGUGAACACUACUCUCAAAAGAAGAGAUAGGGUUAAAGAAUGUGUUUUUGCUCACCAAAUUGUUGGUUUUUGUAGAGACAACUUCUGUUAUUAUUCAGUAGAUCUUUGCUUAUUCUCAAGUGUUUUUUGCUGAUUCUUUUGGCAAUCAUUGUUUGAUUAAUUAAAUUUUGCAGAAUAGUCACUUCAUUUAAUAAGUGAAGUUUCCAAACUCACUGAGUCACUCCAAUUAUCUGCGUUCUGUGCAUCUUCCAGUUUCGAAGAGUCAUCAUCCUUAGCUGCAUAUUAGAUCAAGUUUUCACUGCCCUCCAACCAUGUAGACUUGCUGCACAAGUUUUCACUCGCCUACCAUACCAUUAUAAAUUCGCAAGUUUUCACUCAUCUGUUGGUUCUACUUUUUAAAUAUUGUUUUGAUGUUAAUUGGAUUGUGCUUUGCCUUCAUCAUCUACACACCAGCAUAUUCCUAACUCACAUAGAAACUCUAACUUAUAUAAUUAGAGCUGAUUUUGGCCUAAAAGUUUACUAUGAGAAGAUUGACAAGAAUACAAAUAAACUUAAAUCCAUUUACCAUUCUUGGGUAUGUGCUUCUCAAUAAUUUAUUUGUUCAAAAUGAAGGUUUACUAUGAGAAGAUUGACAAGAAUACAAGUAAUAUUCUUUCAAACUUUCUUAAUGUUGCGUGCAUAUUUCAAUUAGGAGUUGGGUGCAAGGUUCUAAAAAACGCUAGGCGCAAGUAGGGUGGCAGACUAGCGCCUAGCGUCUAAGAGGCUAGGCGGGGUCUAGGCAAGCGCCUGGGCGGUCUAGGUGGAUUUAGGUAAAUUUCUUGUAUAUCUUGUAAAUAAGUGCAUAUUGACACUUACAAAAAAUUAAACUUGUAUGAAAUUCAUUGAUAAGAUAAUAAAAGAAUAAUAAAAUGCAAAAAGAGUAUCCAACAAGUCUAAAAUUUUAAAACACAUUAAGCAUAUAUGCCAUAGAACCAUAGUGAGGAGUAUUAUAGGAUGACAUAAGUACAAUAAGUUCAUAAUUUAAAAAGAAAAUUAUAUAUGUAUGAAAAUAUGUAAAAAUUUAGGCUCUUUUUGUUAGUUUUGUAUCAUUUUGUAAGUCUAUAAAUAUAACGCAAGUUGGGCCAUGUAUUCCUUGUACAUUUGAGUAGAAAUGUGGUCCAUUUAUAGAUGGGCUUAAUGGACCCUAACAAAAAACCCAAAGUCAUCCAAUCCAUUUUUUAUCCUAUUAGAAUUAAAAAAAAAAAAAAAAACAAAGACACUAGUUUUUAGGCAUCCCGGUUCCAAUCACCGAGUCACUUUCAAAAGAAAAAACCUUAAGCUACUCAUCAAAAACCAUUGUUGCCGUCUGCUUAUCACCAUAUCUGCAAUUGCAGAUUUUCUUUCUCUCUCUCUCUCUCUGUCUCAAACCAUCGUCACACCUAGAGGAAACAGUGAGACGCACAUCGCCCAGAUUUCCUAGUGUCCGCAUACUUCUGGGUAGGCUAUCGUAUUUUCCCAGGCCGUCCAGAUCUUCCAGCUUCCGUCUAUCCCACCCAGCGACCAUUUAGCCCACCUAGGCGUCCGACUUAUGCCACCUAAUAGCUUUGCUGAUUUAGUAAACGAUUUCGAGAUAAUCGUGGCGGAGCACUGCCGUCUAGCGCCUAGGCCGUGUUUUAUAACA